RNAcentral lists this ribosomal RNA (468 nucleotides) under uncultured bacterium. RNAcentral describes it as "partial 16S ribosomal RNA". The stretch from base 20 to 332 matches the Rfam family "Bacterial small subunit ribosomal RNA", at positions 47 to 358 of the family's 1533-position model. The record is from RNAcentral.
GACGAACGCUGGCGGCGUGCUUAACACAUGCAAGUCGAACGGAAAGGCCCUGCUUUUGUGGGGUGCUCGAGUGGCGAACGGGUGAGUAACACGUGAGUAACCUGCCCUUGACUUUGGGAUAACUUCAGGAAACUGGGGCUAAUACCGGAUAGGAGCUCCUGCUGCAUGGUGGGGGUUGGAAAGUUUCGGCGGUUGGGGAUGGACUCGCGGCUUAUCAGCUUGUUGGUGGGGUAGUGGCUUACCAAGGCUUUGACGGGUAGCCGGCCUGAGAGGGUGACCGGGGUCAAGGGGACGAAGGGAGGGACCAGAGGGGAACGGGGGGCAGCGGGGGGAAGUAUGGAGAAGCGAGGGGGAGUGAGAGACGGAGGCGCGGGGGGCGGAAAGAAGGCGUGGGGGGAAAGAAAAGCUGUGGACGGAGACGAAGAGGGGGGGACGGGAAUGAAUAAAGAAGCAAAGGCUAACGACGUG